CGCAUCUGUGCAUGCAGCAUAUCAAUAAGCGGAGGAAAAGUACGUACCUACGCUUAGGAUGUUGACAGCAGUAGACUGUCGAUCUCAUCUAUACAUGACUCUGUGCAUAUCAAUAAGCGGAGGAAAAGAAACUAACAAGGAUUCCCCUAGUAACGGCGAGUGAAGCGGGAAGAGCUCAAAUUUGAAAUCUUAAAGGGUUUCCCUUUACGAAUUGUAGUUUAAAGAAGUGUUUUCUGUUGAGGUUUUGGUAAAAGUUCUUUGGAAUAGGACAUCAUAGAGGGUGAGAAUCCCGUAUAUUGACCUUGGACUUGUCAGCUUUGUGAUACACUUUCAAAGAGUCGGAUUGUUUGGGAAUGCAGUCCAAAAUGGGAUGGUAAAUUUCUAUCUAAGGCUAAAUAUUGGCGAGAGACCGAUAGCGAACAAGUACCGUGAGGGAAAGAUGAAAAGAACUUUGAAAAGAGAGUUAAACUAGUACGUGAAAUUGUCAAAAGGGAAGCGUUUGACACCAGUGUUGUUUUUCUGAAAAUCAAUUAAAAUGACUCGAUUUAUGCUAUUGUUGAGACCUUAAUCAGCUAACUGUUAAUUUUUGAGUCUUUUCUUUAAUGCACUUUUCAGUUAACAAGUCAACAUCAGUUUCUUUUGCUGUAAAAAGGCAUUGAGGAAGGUGGCUUGAUAUUCGUCUGAAAGUGUUUAUAGCCUCUUGGCCUAUGCAAUCGGAGAGAUUGAGGUCUGCAGCGUAGACUCCUUCGGGGCUAGAUACAUUUGUGCUAAGUUAUAGCAUUUUAUAGACAACUUGUCGACUAUAAUUAGUCUUGUAGCUUACUCGCUUAUGUUAUUUUACCUACGCUUAGGAUGUUGACAGCAGUAUAGACUGU
RNAcentral lists this ribosomal RNA (875 nucleotides) under uncultured Neocallimastigales. RNAcentral's name for it is "partial large subunit ribosomal RNA". It matches the Rfam family "Eukaryotic large subunit ribosomal RNA", at positions 1 to 637 of the family's 3401-position model. The record is from RNAcentral. Lineage: Eukaryota; Fungi; Neocallimastigomycota; Neocallimastigomycetes; Neocallimastigales.